UCGGAGAGUUUGAUCCUGGCUCAGGACGAACGCUGGCGGCGUGCCUAAUACAUGCAAGUCGAGCGGACAGAUGGGAGCUUGCUCCCUGAUGUUAGCGGCGGACGGGUGAGUAACACGUGGGUAACCUGCCUGUAAGACUGGGAUAACUCCGGGAAACCGGGGCUAAUACCGGAUGGUUGUCUGAACCGCAUGGUUCAGACAUAAAAGGUGGCUUCGGCUACCACUUACAGAUGGACCCGCGGCGCAUUAGCUAGUUGGUGAGGUAACGGCUCACCAAGGCGACGAUGCGUAGCCGACCUGAGAGGGUGAUCGGCCACACUGGGACUGAGACACGGCCCAGACUCCUACGGGAGGCAGCAGUAGGGAAUCUUCCGCAAUGGACGAAAGUCUGACGGAGCAACGCCGCGUGAGUGAUGAAGGUUUUCGGAUCGUAAAGCUCUGUUGUUAGGGAAGAACAAGUGCCGUUCAAAUAGGGCGGCACCUUGACGGUACCUAACCAGAAAGCCACGGCUAACUACGUGCCAGCAGCCGCGGUAAUACGUAGGUGGCAAGCGUUGUCCGGAAUUAUUGGGCGUAAAGGGCUCGCAGGCGGUUUCUUAAGUCUGAUGUGAAAGCCCCCGGCUCAACCGGGGAGGGUCAUUGGAAACUGGGGAACUUGAGUGCAGAAGAGGAGAGUGGAAUUCCACGUGUAGCGGUGAAAUGCGUAGAGAUGUGGAGGAACACCAGUGGCGAAGGCGACUCUCUGGUCUGUAACUGACGCUGAGGAGCGAAAGCGUGGGGAGCGAACAGGAUUAGAUACCCUGGUAGUCCACGCCGUAAACGAUGAGUGCUAAGUGUUAGGGGGUUUCCGCCCCUUAGUGCUGCAGCUAACGCAUUAAGCACUCCGCCUGGGGAGUACGGUCGCAAGACUGAAACUCAAAGGAAUUGACGGGGGCCCGCACAAGCGGUGGAGCAUGUGGUUUAAUUCGAAGCAACGCGAAGAACCUUACCAGGUCUUGACAUCCUCUGACAAUCCUAGAGAUAGGACGUCCCCUUCGGGGGCAGAGUGACAGGUGGUGCAUGGUUGUCGUCAGCUCGUGUCGUGAGAUGUUGGGUUAAGUCCCGCAACGAGCGCAACCCUUGAUCUUAGUUGCCAGCAUUCAGUUGGGCACUCUAAGGUGACUGCCGGUGACAAACCGGAGGAAGGUGGGGAUGACGUCAAAUCAUCAUGCCCCUUAUGACCUGGGCUACACACGUGCUACAAUGGACAGAACAAAGGGCAGCGAAACCGCGAGGUUAAGCCAAUCCCACAAAUCUGUUCUCAGUUCGGAUCGCAGUCU
RNAcentral lists this ribosomal RNA (1319 nucleotides) under Pectobacterium versatile. Its description in RNAcentral is "bacterial SSU rRNA". It matches the Rfam family "Bacterial small subunit ribosomal RNA", at positions 1 to 1306 of the family's 1533-position model. The record is from RNAcentral. Lineage: Bacteria; Pseudomonadati; Pseudomonadota; Gammaproteobacteria; Enterobacterales; Pectobacteriaceae.